Molecule: ribosomal RNA, 301 nt
Filed under: uncultured bacterium
Lineage: Bacteria
Description: partial 16S ribosomal RNA
Rfam family: Bacterial small subunit ribosomal RNA
Source: RNAcentral
CAGCAGCCACGGGAAUACGAAGGGGGCUAGCGUUGUUCGGAAUUACUGGGCGUAAAGCGCACGUAGGCGGAUAUUUAAGUCAGGGGUGAAAUCCCAGAGCUCAACUCUGGAACUGCCUUUGAUACUGGGUAUCUUGAGUAUGGAAGAGGUGAGUGGAAUUCCGAGUGUAGAGGUGAAAUUCGUAGAUAUUCGGAGGAACACCAGUGGCGAAGGCGGCUCACUGGUCCAUUACUGACGCUGAGGUGCGAAAGCGUGGGGAGCAAACAGGAUUAGAUACCCCGGUAGUCCCUGUCUCUUAUAC